This 400-nucleotide ribosomal RNA is filed under the name uncultured bacterium. RNAcentral's name for it is "bacterial SSU rRNA". It matches the Rfam family "Bacterial small subunit ribosomal RNA", at positions 359 to 776 of the family's 1533-position model. The record is from RNAcentral.
GAAUCUUGGACAAUGGGGGCAACCCUGAUCCAGCGACGCCGCGUGGGUGACGAAGGCCUUAGGGUUGUAAAGCCCUUUUCUCGGGGAAGAUGAUGACGGUACCCGAGGAAUAAGCACCGGCUAACUCCGUGCCAGCAGCCGCGGUAAGACGGAGGGUGCGAGCGUUGUUCGGAAUUACUGGGCGUAAAGGGCGCGUAGGCGGCCGGCUAAGUCGGAUGUGAAAGCCCGGGGCUCAACCUCGGAACGGCAUACGAAACUCGUCGGCUGGAGAACGGAAGAGGAGAGUGGAAUACCCAGUGUAGAGGUGAAAUUCGUAGAUAUUGGGUGGAACACCGGUGGCGAAAGCGGCUCUCUGGUCCGGAUCUGACGCUGAGGCGCGAAAGCGUGGGGAGCAAACAGG